GACGAACGCUGGCGGCGUGCUUAACACAUGCAAGUCGUACGGUAAGGCCCUUUCGGGGGUACACGAGUGGCGAACGGGUGAGUAACACGUGAGUAACCUGCCCACAACUUUGGGAUAACGCUAGGAAACUGGUGCUAAUACUGGAUAUGUGCUCCUGCUGCAUGGUGGGGGUUGGAAAGCUCCGGCGGUUGUGGAUGGACUCGCGGCCUAACAGCUUGUUGGUGGGGUAGUGGCCUACCAAGGCGGCGACGGGUAGCCGGCCUGGGAGGGUGACCGGCCACAUUGGGACUGAGAUACGGCCCAGACUCCUACGGGAGGCAGCAGUGGGGAAUAUUGCACAAUGGGCGCAAGCCUGAUGCAGCAACGCCGCGUGCGGGAUGACGGCCUUCGGGUUGUAAACCGCUUUCAGCAGGGACGAAGCUUUUUGUGACGGUACCUGCAGAAGAAGCACCGGCUAACUACGUG
RNAcentral lists this ribosomal RNA (465 nucleotides) under uncultured bacterium. RNAcentral's name for it is "partial 16S ribosomal RNA". It matches the Rfam family "Bacterial small subunit ribosomal RNA", at positions 28 to 507 of the family's 1533-position model. The record is from RNAcentral.